AGCCGAUGAAGGACGUAGGAGGCUGCGAUAAGCCUCGGGGAGCUGUC
RNAcentral lists this ribosomal RNA (47 nucleotides) under Nocardia otitidiscaviarum. RNAcentral describes it as "partial 23S ribosomal RNA". Lineage: Bacteria; Bacillati; Actinomycetota; Actinomycetes; Mycobacteriales; Nocardiaceae. The record is from RNAcentral.